UCAGGGGCGUGGCCACCUCCCACCCUUGUCUCUAUACACCUGUUGCUUUGGCGGGCCCACCGGGGCCACCUGGUCGCCGGGGGACAUCUGUCCCCGGGCCCGCGCCCGCCGAAGCGCUCUGUGAACCCUGAUGAAGAUGGGCUGUCUGAGUACUAUGAAAAUUGUCAAAACUUUCAACAAUGGAUCUCUUGGUUCCGGCAUCGAUGAAGAACGCAGCGAAAUGCGAUAAGUAAUGUGAAUUGCAGAAUUCCGUGAAUCAUCGAAUCUUUGAACGCACAUUGCGCCCCCUGGCAUUCCGGGGGGCAUGCCUGUCCGAGCGUCAUUUCUGCCCUCAAGCACGGCUUGUGUGUUGGGUGCGGUCCCCCCGGGGACCUGCCCGAAAGGCAGCGGCGACGUCCGUCUGGUCCUCGAGCGUAUGGGGCUUUGUCACUCGCUCGGGAAGGACUGGCGGGGGUUGGUCACCACCAAAAUUUUACCACGGUUGACCUCGGAUCAGGUAGGAGUUACCCGCUGAACUUAAGCAUAUCAAUAAGCGGGAGGAAGGUAAUGAUCUUCCGUAGGGUGAACCUGCGGAAGGAUCAUUACCGAG
Molecule: ribosomal RNA, 589 nt
Filed under: Penicillium sp. LH03
Lineage: Eukaryota; Fungi; Ascomycota; Eurotiomycetes; Eurotiales; Aspergillaceae
Description: eukaryotic LSU rRNA
Rfam family: 5.8S ribosomal RNA (bases 169-322)
Source: RNAcentral